This is a long non-coding RNA of Molossus molossus (Pallas's mastiff bat), 381 nucleotides long. RefSeq lists it as uncharacterized. The record is from RefSeq and is a predicted model, not a curated record. The transcript is spliced from 3 exons. NCBI's taxonomy places the organism in Eukaryota, Metazoa, Chordata, Mammalia, Chiroptera, Molossidae.
GAGUCUGCGCGCGAAUUCAGUGGCGCGAAAUUGGGACCGCAGUUGAGCGCUGGGGGGGUUCCAGGUGUGACUCCCAGAACUGCAGCGCGCCGUGCCGGCCCGAGAAGCUGACAGGAGAAGAGGAGAAGGAGCGGGGAAGGGACAAUUCUGCCGCCAUCAUGCAGCGAAGUAUCAUGUCGUUUUUCCACCCCAAGAAAGAGGGCAAAGCAAAGAAGCCAGAGGAGACAUCCAACAGCAUCAAAGAGACCAAGCCCCCUCCAAAGUACGUAAUGGGGCUAUUCCUUUAUCAGUCAGGACUCUCUUGGCUGCAAGUGUUACAAACUCAGCUCAGAAUGUCUCGGGAUCCCAAAGGCGGUUUUUGACUUCAGUAACUGGGAAGUU